RNA transcript from Hippocampus zosterae (dwarf seahorse), 4807 nucleotides. It is a transcript of the gene named neuropilin (NRP) and tolloid (TLL)-like 1, like, with no coding region annotated. The transcript is spliced from 12 exons. The record is from RefSeq and is a predicted model, not a curated record. NCBI's taxonomy places the organism in Eukaryota, Metazoa, Chordata, Actinopteri, Syngnathiformes, Syngnathidae.
AUGCGCACACUCGACAUCGUCGGAUUUUCUGCAGCAGCACCAACAUCCACCAAGAAAAAAAAAUCCCAACUUGUUUCACCUCGCCGCAGGAUCUUUACGCGCAGCGGUGCCGACAUGUUGAGGAUGCUGAGAUGAGCCUUGCGCGGCUCUCCAUGCUGCCGAAACCUCUCCUCCUCCUCCUCCUCCUCAUCUUCCUCCUCCUCUCUUCCUCCUGAUGAGGGGAGCAAAGAGGACGAAAACAAGGCUGCCUCAUGUGUUCUUUUCCGAAAAGGAGAUGGCAAAGGUGGAGCGAUUAGAGCUGGGCUCAUGACGGAACGAGUAAUCCUUUCAGUGCACCAAAGAGAUUUGGAAACGUUUGGAUGGAAUUUGGGCGAGUGUCUGCUACGAGAACAGUUUUUGGUCUUGUAUGAAACCGGCGAUUAGUUGCUGCCACACAUUCUUCCCUAAUGACUGCAUCGAGGAGAUUGAUUUGAAAGGGGCGAGUGGUUUCUCUGCGCGAAUUUCCCCUAAAACUCACCUCUUGUUUUCUCUCCUCAAGUACUCCACAUCUAAAUGGAAUUAGUUGAGUCUGCGGCCGUUUGUGAAAGGAACAGACAUGGUACAUGGACACAGCUUCCAUCACGUUGUCGCAAGUCUUAUCCUCCUCGGCUUGUCCGGCGCAACAAAGAGAGGCACAUCAGUGAAAAACAAUUCCGGGGUGAAGCCAGCUGAUCAGUGUGGAACGUGGGUGAAAGAACCAGAAGGAGGUCUCUUCACUUCUCCCAACUACCCAAGCAAAUACCCACCGGAUACAGAGUGCGUGUACAUACUUGAAGCCCCGCCAAGGCAGUGCAUCGAGCUCCACUUUGAGGAGCACUAUUCCAUCGAGUCCUCUUGGGAAUGUAAAUUUGACAACAUCGAAGUUCGCGAUGGACCUUUCGGCUUCUCUCCCAUACUCGGACGCUAUUGCGGUCAGCACAGCCCGCCGGAUAUCAGGAGUGGCGGCCGCUACCUGUGGAUAAAAUUUGUUACGGAUGGCGAAUUGGAGGCGGUGGGAUUUUCAGCCAGUUACAACUUCACUGCAGAUCCUGACUUUGCAGACUUGGGAGUACCACCACCUCUACCCGCAUGUCAGUACGACAUGGUCGGCCCAGAAGGUAUUGUGGAGUCUCAUCAGAUCACCAGAGACGGGAAGGCUGGCGCCAACGAGGCCGUCGACUGCAAAUGGUACAUCCGGGCGCCACCACGCUCCAAGAUCUACCUACGUUUCCUCGACUAUGAGAUGGCCAAUUCCAAUGAGUGCAAGCGCAACUUUGUGGCAGUGUAUGACGGCGGCAGCUCGGUGGAGGACCUGAAGAGCAAGUUCUGUUCUACGGUGGCCAAUGACCUCAUGUUGGUGUCGACCUUGGGUGUCAUUCGAAUGUGGGCGGAUGAGGCCAGCCGCAAAAGUCGCUUCCGCAUCCUUUUCACGACCUACCAAGAACCUCCGUGUGAUCCAGAUGCCUUCUUCUGUCACAGUAACAUGUGCAUAAACAACACACUGGUGUGCAACGGCCAGCAGAACUGCGUGUACCCCUGGGAUGAGAAUCAGUGUAAAGAGAACACGAAAGCCAACAUCCUGGACAACCUGAACAACACCAACGGGACCAUCAUCGGCGUCACCUGCUGCAUUGUCCUUCUCCUCCUCAUCAUCUCGGUUAUCGUCCAAAUCAAGCAGCCUCGCAAAAAGUACAUCCUGCGGCGUGAGGACUUUGACCCCACCAUGUUCCAAGAGGUCUUUGAGCCGCCUCACUACGAGCUGUGCACUUUGCGCAGCGCCACCGCUGCCGCCGCCUCAGCAGACCUCGUGGACCUUGCGGAAGACUUUGAGAGCUACCACGCCCUCCGCCGUGCCUCCUCACGCUGCAUCCACGACCACCACUGUGGCUCCUCCACCAACCCGUGCUCGGCCCACAUAUCCCAGCUGUCCCUCAGCGGGCGAGGGAGCCGCGGGAAUCUGAGCGCGCGGGACCCGACGGCGGGCGGCCUCCUGGCGGACCUGCCGCAGCCGCCCAUGUCCGUGCGGCCCCUCUUGCCGAGCGCGGCGAACCGUAGGAGCAUCUUGGUCAUGAAGCACAGCUACUCGCAAGAGGGAGCGGACAAUGGAUGCGACCUGGACGACGACCUGGAUGAAGUUCCCACCACCAGCCACCGGCUUUCACGCCACGAAAAGGCAGUACAGCGGUUCUGCCUCAUUGGCUCUUUGAGCAAACAUGAAUCAGAGUACAACACAACUAGGGUCUGAGAGACAAUCUCAAGGUAAGCCCUCCUCGUCCAACUAUUUUGAUGAUGUCGAUUGUUGUGUAGUUCUCAUUGGCACAGUUUGCUUUCAAGAAUGGAUGCCCCCCCCACCCCCGCUGUUUGUGAUUUUUACAAUUCAUUUUUAUCUUUACUAAGAUGGUUUUCUUGCCUGCAACCAUCUGGCCGUUUCAGUGUGUUUGUUUGAACAUGGAAUGCUCAAUUUUACUGCAUGCGUUUUCUUUGUUUGUUUCUUUGUUUUUUUUUUCUGGUGGACAAAACUGGAGACUAAGUGGAUGCUUGAUCUGCAUGGACUUUUUUCUUUCAUUUUCAAGCUUGAUUUUCAUUUGCUACCAGUCAUGAUGGGUUAACCUUUUUGUUUUCCCCCUACAGCAAAAAUGAGCAACAUAUUGUAAAAAGUCUACAAGAUGUGAGGUUUUAUAGCAAACUGUGUUUCGGUGACAUCAGCACAUAAUCUGAAGCCUUGUCAAUGGCUGCAUUUUAGUGAAGCCCAACUUUCAUAUUUCAAAAUAUAUUUUAUAGAUGAACGCUUGAAAUGACACAAGAAAAUGGAAAAAGACUUUUAAGGCAUCCCGUUCAUCAAUUUCUGUAAAUUCUGUACCACAUAUCCUGGAGGAGCCUAUCAACUUAUUUAAUCCAUCAUUAAUGAUGGUUUAUAAGCAGCAGUCUGUCAUGACAGCCUUCUUUGUCUUUUAGUAUGAAAACAUUAUUAUGUUAAAAAAAAUCUCAACCUUAGUAUGUGUGCGUGUGUGUGCGCGUGCUCGCACUUACAUUCUACAUCGUGUCACAUUUUCUUCUAUACUUACAAGUUGGUUUGUCUCCUAACAAUCGCCGUAGGAAGCUUAAUGUCUAUGUAUAAAACCCAACUUUUCUACUCAGGCAAAAUAAGAUUUUUUUUUUUAAUGUUAUUCUAACGAUCCUUCAGGGCUGCUCUUAUUGAUGCUUUGUAACAGUAUUAAUCUUAAAUAACAAUAAAGCACUGUUUUUUUUUGUUGCUUUGUUCAACUUGUCUCAUUAUGUAAAUCUGCCAUGCACGCAUGCCGUCGUCGCUCACAGAUAUAAUUAGCGCUUUGAAAUGUGUGUUUCUUGUUUGCUUUGUGGAGUAGCCCACCAAACUGAAACGUGAUGUUUCUUUAUUUAUUUAUCCUCCGGAAAUUCACAUUGACUUUAAUCAAAAAUUUAACCGUGGUGUUGUUAGGAUUAUGAGGUUAAGACAACCGCCUUGGGGAGGGAUCAUCUAUUGUAAAAUUGGUUUUGGAGUUAAAACCUGCACCAAACAUACAUACACUCAUGCAAAGCAAAUUUGCAUGUACGUAAACUCUACACAAAAUACUUGCAGAGUUUUUUUUCUGCUAUGUAUACACAUACAUUUUUGCUAUGCAUAUGCAUUUUUACUCUAAGAAUUAAAGUCCACAAUCACAUUCUCGCUGCAGUUCUUGAAAAGUAGCCUUUCCUCUUGUGACUGGCUGGAAACUGGUCCAGGUUGUACUCCACCUCCUGCCCUAAGUCACCCUCAGAUCACCCAUGACCCAAAUGAGGACCAAUGGGAGAUCAAAUGGAUGGAUGAUGACCUCAGCGAAAAUAAAAACUGUGUCCCAGUUAUUUGCGAGAUGGGUCUUCCAUUUCAGUCGACCUCUCUUUUUUUCUCCCAUGAAUUGGCUGUCAUUACCGACUGACUGAAACCACCGCGUGCCAUGCAUUAUUUCAGGGCAUCUUUAAAACUUUGCUUGUGCUCUGUGCACGCUACGUUUUAGUGUCUUUUGACUCUUUUUGAAAUCACACACCUAAUCUCUUUUAAAUAGAUGGAAGCAGACAUCUCGCUUAAAAUAAGUACGUCUGGACCAUUUUAUCACAAGCAGAUUAAAAAUAAAAAGAAGGAAAGGGAACAAAAAGCAUGCAAGGCCCAGAAAAGAAGGGAGUAGAAGUAAUGGUGUUUUUAUUUCUCAACAGAUACAUCAGACAGGUGCAUCAUUCCUCUGCAUCUUGCCAAGUUUGACAGCAUUUGGAGGUCUCUCUCCCUUGUGAAUCUUCUGUGAACUAAUAUGGCUGAGUAAUUAGAGUGAUGAAGGAGGCGAACGCAUCAAGUUGUUUCUUUGCUUCACACCACACAGGUGUUUUGUUCCUGUACCUGUGGACCACAUCUGGCAAGGAUGAACUAGCCAUGGAGUAUUGAUAAAUGACUGAAACCAGAGAAUACCUUUAAUGUAAAGCAGUUCAUGAAGAAGAAAAAAAAAACACAUAAAUCAGGUUUUUACAAAUUAUUUUCAUGCUUCAGUUAAACGUUCCAUGUUUAUUUAUAGACUGGGUGCUGCGUGAGGUGCUUACAUGUCUAAAAGUUGAUGUGUGGAAAUGAAGUGAUGAAUUUCAUUAAUAAACGCUUCUCAUAGGUAGCAUAUGUCUGGGCAUUAUAAUUUCUUAGUUUGUCACUCUUGAUCAUUACAUUUUCAUUUAAUAGAGUCAUCUACAUAUUGAUUUGAUAUUAUAAAGAUAAUGCUGGACAGACUAUUUAAAUAAACAAACCUUUACUGAU